This 644-nucleotide ribosomal RNA is filed under the name Pseudo-nitzschia fraudulenta. RNAcentral's name for it is "partial Bacterial large subunit ribosomal RNA". It matches the Rfam family "Bacterial large subunit ribosomal RNA", at positions 76 to 780 of the family's 2925-position model. The record is from RNAcentral. Lineage: Eukaryota; Bacillariophyta; Bacillariophyceae; Bacillariales; Bacillariaceae.
CGUUGGUGAGCUGACAAAAAGCGUUAUAACCAACGAUGUCCGAAUGGGGAAACCCGGCACUUCGGUGUCAUCUGCAACUGAAUACAUAGGUUGCAGAAGCGAACGAGGGGAACUGAAACAUCUAAGUACCCUUAGGAAGAGAAAUCAAUUGAGAUUGCCUUAGUAGCGGCGAGCGAACGGGUAACAGCCGAUGGUUUAUGUUGUAGUGGAACGGUCUGGAAAGUCCGGCGAUACAGGGUGAUAGCCCCGUACACGAAGCAUGAUAUAUCACAUAUUAAGUAGGACGGGACACGUGUUAUCUUGUCUGAAGAUGGGGGGACCAUCCUCCAAGGCUAAAUACUCCUGGCUGACCGAUAGUGAACCAGUACCGUGAGGGAAAGGUGAAAAGCACCCCGACGAGGGGAGUGAAACAGUUUCUGAAACCGGACGCCUACAAGCAGUCGGAGCCUCCUUGAGAGGUGACGGCGUACCUUUUGUAUAAUGGGUCAGCGACUUAAUUUAACGAGCAAGCUUAAGCCGGUAGGUGUAGGCGUAGCGAAAGCGAGUCUGAAUAGGGCGAACAGUCAGUGGGGGUAGACGCGAAACCCUGUGAUCUACCCAUGGUCAGGUUGAAGUGUAGGUAACACUACAUGGAGGACCGAACC